CCUACGGGGGGCAGCAGUGGGGAAUAUUGCACAAUGGGCGCAAGCCUGAUGCAGCCAUGCCGCGUGUGUGAAGAAGGCCUUCGGGUUGUAAAGCACUUUCAGCGGGGAGGAAGGCGGUGAGGUUAAUAACCUCAUCGAUUGACGUUACCCGCAGAAGAAGCACCGGCUAGCUCCGUGCCAGCAGCCGCGGUAAUACGGAGGGUGCAAGCGUUAAUCGGAAUUACUGGGCGUAAAGCGCACGCAGGCGGUCUGUCAAGUCGGAUGUGAAAUCCCCGGGCUCAACCUGGGAACUGCAUUCGAAACUGGCAGGCUAGAGUCUUGUAGAGGGGGGUAGAAUUCCAGGUGUAGCGGUGAAAUGCGUAGAGAUCUGGAGGAAUACCGGUGGCGAAGGCGGCCCCCUGGACAAAGACUGACGCUCAGGUGCGAAAGCGUGGGGAGCAAACAGGAUUAGAUACCCGUGUAGUC
RNAcentral lists this ribosomal RNA (465 nucleotides) under uncultured Klebsiella sp. RNAcentral's name for it is "bacterial SSU rRNA". It matches the Rfam family "Bacterial small subunit ribosomal RNA", at positions 338 to 795 of the family's 1533-position model. The record is from RNAcentral. Lineage: Bacteria; Pseudomonadati; Pseudomonadota; Gammaproteobacteria; Enterobacterales; Enterobacteriaceae.